Pimephales promelas (fathead minnow) is the source of this 795-nucleotide non-coding RNA. The record is from RefSeq and is a predicted model, not a curated record. Lineage: Eukaryota; Metazoa; Chordata; Actinopteri; Cypriniformes; Leuciscidae.
GGCCUCCGUUACACUCACUCCCAUAAACCUCACUACCAUCCGGGUCACGGCACCAAAUGUACCAAAUAGCUGGCCUCCGUUACACUUACCCCCAUAAACCUCACUACCAUCCGGGUCACGGCAUCAAAUGUACCAAAUAGCUGGCCUCCAUUACACUAAGAGCAAAUGGUAGCCAUACAGUUCACUUGGAGACUGUGAUAUCAUGAUCAUCUGAAUCUCACUGUCAAUAUUCACAAAAACUAAACUUGGCUCUUCUUAUUUAUUUAUGGCCCCUCCCCCCAGUUUAUCCCUUCACACCCUCAUUUUUCCUUCAGAGAACACAAAUACUCGCACGCUCACAGUAGAACCAUCCUUUUGUCAUUCACACUUACACGUACACAAUGUACAAGUAUACAUAAGAAGUUAGAUAACAGCUCAGGAACUCAUGAAAAGCUGAAGCACAUGCCCCUCAGAGCAAUGCUGACCCCUGAUUAGUCCUGCACAUGGCCAACUUUUUUUUUUUUUGCUAUGGAAAAUAAGACAGUAGUUGAAAUGGAUGAAAACAGGUGAAUCUCAUGAAACCUCAAGGACAACGCUGGGUCAUAUUUCACUCCAAAAUCAAAAGAAAUAUACAUUUUCAGCCAAUUAAGAUUUCAUCCAUUUUUUUUAUUGUAAAAUAAAUAAAUCCAACACUCACUUAAAGUCAAGAAUCAGAGCUACUGAAGUCACAGGAAUAACUGAUUUUUUUUAGCACUAGUAGGCCUGAAAUGCUACAUUUAGACAAUUUGUAUGGUCUUAGAAUCAAGUAUGUCAUUA